RNAcentral lists this ribosomal RNA (253 nucleotides) under uncultured bacterium. Its description in RNAcentral is "partial 16S ribosomal RNA". It matches the Rfam family "Bacterial small subunit ribosomal RNA", at positions 524 to 776 of the family's 1533-position model. The record is from RNAcentral.
UACGGAGGAUGCAAGCGUUAUCCGGAUUCAUUGGGUUUAAAGGGUGCGUAGGCGGCUAUUUAAGUCAGUGGUGAAAUCCUGUCGCUUAACGAUAGAAUUGCCAUUGAUACUGAAUAGCUUGAGUACAAUUGAGGUAAGCGGAAUGUGUAGUGUAGCGGUGAAAUGCUUAGAUAUUACACAGAACACCAAUUGCGAAGGCAGCUUACUAAACUGUCACUGACGCUGAUGCACGAAAGCGUGGGGAGCGAACAGG